AAUAACUUAGUUUGUGGUGUAGAAUCGGAAAUGAAAAACUUUAAUUUAGGUGUAGGUGUGAUCGAUGAAGAAUUUUAAGUACUGAAAAGGACUGAGUGAAAUAAAUGUAAUUAGUUAAUUAGACUAAUAAGGUAAUUCCUAUUUCCUUUUGCAUAAUGAUUUAAUUAGUUUGGUACUAGCAAUAAUGCAUGUUAGUUAACCCGAAACUAAACGAUCUAUUCUAGUUUUAGUAGAGUUGACUUAACUAAUUUAUGUUGCAAUAUAAUUAGAUAAAGUUAGGAUAGAGGUGACAUGCUAAUCGUGUUUAGUUCUAGCUGGUUAUUUAUGAAAUGGAUAGGAGUUCAGUUUUAUAGUUAAGUAUAAAGUGCGUCAUAUCGGAAUAUGCUGAUGUGUCAAAAUGUAAACAAAUAUCUUCUAUAUAUAAGUAGAUAAAUAGUUGUUAGUGGGCUUAAAAGCAGCCAUCUUAUGUAGAAAGCGUUAUAGCUUGAUAACACAAUUUAAUUAUUAUUUUAGUAUGGUAGUAAAUAACUCUUGUAGAGGAUCUUAUGUUAAAAUGCGUAGAUAGAGAAAAACUUAGACACGAGGUAAAUUUUAUGCUUGAUAGGUAUAUACAAGAAAGUACAAUUAUAAGAGUUAAUCUGACAUGAGAGUGUGGUUAAGUAAAUUAAUUAGGGAAUAGGAACUCGGCAAAUCUUAAGCUCGCCUGUUUAACAAAAACAUCGCCUUCAGAUUCAAUAUUGGAGGUCUGGUCUGCCCAGUGUAAUUAAUUAACGGCCGCGGUAUUCUGACUGUGCAAAGGUAGCAUAAUCACUUGCCCUUUAAAUGGGGGAAUGUAUGAAUGAUUAGACGAGGUUUUUACUGUCUCUUCCUUAUAAAUUGAGAUUACAAUACUUGUGAAAAUGCGGGUAAGGUAAUAAAGGACGAGAAGACCCUGUUGAGCUUUUAAGCUAAACUAUAGUACAGGUUAAGUUAAGUAAUAAUUUACAAUUAAAACGAGUAAUUUUUUGUAGGCUUUUUGGCUGGGGUGGCAAGCAAAGAUAUUAAGCUUUGUUGUAGUAUACAUUUUGUAUUUCUAGAUAAUAUGUAUCUAUAAAUAAUUAAAUUGAUCCGUUAAAAUAGAACGAUUAAAAGAAUAAGUUACCACAGGGAUAACAGCGUAAUUCUUUUUGAGAGCUCGAAUUGACAAAGGAGUUUGCGACCUCGAUGUUGGAUCAAGAUUCCUAGCGGUGUAGCAGCUGUUACGGGUUUGCCUGUUCGGCGAUUAAUAUCUUACGUGAUCUGAGUUCAGACCGUCGUAAGACAGGUUAGAUUCUAUCCUUAGGUUUAUGCAUUUAGUACGAAAGGACCAAUGGCAUGUAAUUUUAAGUUUUUACUAAAUUAUAA
RNAcentral lists this ribosomal RNA (1383 nucleotides) under Branchiostoma belcheri (Belcher's lancelet). RNAcentral describes it as "16S ribosomal RNA". It matches the Rfam family "Bacterial large subunit ribosomal RNA", at positions 519 to 2760 of the family's 2925-position model. The record is from RNAcentral. Lineage: Eukaryota; Metazoa; Chordata; Leptocardii; Amphioxiformes; Branchiostomatidae.